Long non-coding RNA from Aethalodelphis obliquidens (Pacific white-sided dolphin), 5981 nucleotides. RefSeq lists it as uncharacterized. The record is from RefSeq and is a predicted model, not a curated record. The transcript has 2 exons. Lineage: Eukaryota; Metazoa; Chordata; Mammalia; Artiodactyla; Delphinidae.
CGGGGGUGGGCACGGCGGCGCUUCCGGCCGUGGGGCGGGGUCGGAGAUGGGGUUACGACGGGGCGGCCCGCCCCCGCCUAGGCCCCUCCUCUCCACGCCUGCGCCGGGCGCGGGGGUGGGGCCGCGCGUUCCCCCGCCGCCGCGAGGUCGACCCUUCCACCCACCGCGAGGGGCGGGAUCAGGUUCAGGCCCGGGGUGGGGGUGGGGGUGGGGGCGGAGCGGGCCGGGGCAACCCACACGCCGCAGCCCGGGCACUCGGGCCCGGGGACCGGGGGUGGCGCGCGCUCGGGAAGGAGGGAGCGGGCGGCAGGAAGUGCCCCCCCUCCCGCCCUGCGCGCUGGGGAGAGGCGGGAUGGGGGGGAGACAGAGGUGUACCCUGUGGGGGGAGGGGCCUUGGGGGCACGUUGGGCUGGAGCCCCCGCGCCCUCGCUCCGGGGUAAGAUAGGGGCUCCCCACGCGCUCCGAGCGUCUCCCAUGCGGGGGCGGGCGGGCGCUGACGUGUCCACGCAUCCGAGCGCCGCGCGGCCUAGGGGGGGCCGGGGUGUCGGCGCGACCCCCGGCGGCGGAGGCGGGAACUGCACCUUCGGGCCGAGCGCGGGGAGGGGCUUGCUCCGGGGUCGGCACACGAGCCCGCCCUCCCCAGGAGGUUUCCGCUCAGCCUGCUUGGGUGUCCUUAUCUUUGGGGGGCCGCCUGCCUUUUAUGCCAGAUCCGAAGCAAAACGGAUCCUUUAAGACCCCUCGAACUUUGGGCAGCGCGUUCCCACCGGUGUGGAAAAGCAUCCCUGUGAGAACCCUGCGCGGGCUCCCUGGAGGCCUUGGGCCCCGUCCCGCCCCACUGCCCUCCAUGCAGGCGCAGACUUGAGUCUAGUCACUGCUGGGGGGGGGGGGGGGGGGGUGGGGAAGCCCCAGGGCACCCCAGCCCCCAGGGUGGGAGGUGGGAUGGGCCUUGAAGGAUGUGACCAGAGAAGGCCUCGCACGACCUGCUCCCCUGUAGAAGUGCUCUCCCCGCCUCUCUCUCUGUCCCUGUCUUCUCUAGGCCUCGCCGCCUCUGUCCCCAGCCCUCACUGUCAUCAGGAUGAUAACCCCCUCGUCUACACACCCUUCCUCUCCCUGGCACUGGCUGGUACUUGGGGCCCCCUCCCCAGGCCCUGCCUUGCCUCUGGGACCUCACCUCCCCACCCCCCCAACCCCACCAGCUCACAGCAGGUCUGGACUGUCCACUGGCCAGCUCUCCAGUGCACCCGCUGGCCAGCAGGUUCUUUCCAGAUCGGGGCCUUUGUGGUGCUCCAGGUGCACCCCCAGCCCUGACCCAGGCAUCUGCCUGAAGGCUCCCCUUCAUCUCUGCUCCACCUUUGCCCUCUUUUCUAGUGGGGUCCUCGAGAGGGGCUCACCAAGGAUUAGCCCACAGGAUGAGAACCCCUGGAGGGCGAGCCCGGCCUCGAUCUGGUGCAGAGGCCCCCGGUGGCUGACGCGGCCAGGCUGGCAUCUGUGCUGCGUGGAGGGCCAAGGAGUGUUGAGGGCUCGGGGGUGCGGGGGGUGGACAGCACUCCUCCCGGGCCCCUCCCCAGGUGGUCCCACCCAUUGGGCUCUGGAGCCACAUCUGUGGGAGGGAGCUGUUCUGGUUCCUGUUGCCGGGUGUCCAGGGGGCAGGGUCGGGGGCGGCUGACAGUGCUCUGAGCCCCUGUGGACGGGAGGGUUACCAGGAGGACGGGUGUCCGUGUUCGGGGGAGCAGUCCCGCUCAGGGGCCGUGUGGGGCGGGAGGGCUGGCCUGCCGGCUGAGCCCGCACAUCUGGUGUCCCCAUGACAGUCCUAUUUAUAGUCUCCAUCGGAGAACGUCCCCGGCCGUGGCAGUGGGGCGCCCGCCCGCGCCUCAAGACCCAGGGCCUCGCGCCAAGAGGAGCCCGGGCUGGGGCAGCUGUGGCCAGUGUGGGUCACCGCCUGGCUCGCUUGCUCCCGGGACGCCCCCAGGCUUGCUGAGGGCCAGAGGCGGUCCCGGGCCUGAGGAGGGGGGCCCGCGGCAGCCGCUCCCCACCUGCCUCCCAAGGUCCCCUGUGCCCACCCCAGCCUGGCUUUUCCAUCAGAGAGGCCCCGGGCUGGCCCUCAGUGGCUGUCCCUGCCCUGAAGGGAGGGGGCAGGAAGGGGGGCGCCGCGGGCAGCUGUCUGUGUGCCCCGGUGGUGCUGAAACAGGCCUGGAGACCCUCGCCGACUCCGCCAGGACCGAGGGCUCCCAGGACACCUCGGGCUAGCAGUGAGCUCACCGAGCGGGCCAGGCUGCCCCGGAGCCUGGCUGGCAGGCUGGCCCCCCUGCGCCCUCCAGGAAGCCCUCCCUGGGGGUGGCGGGGGGGUGCUCUGCACAGCUGGCCUCGCCACCCGACUGGCACCGAGACCAGGCGGCCUGCCCGGGCUGCGGAGAAGGGAGGCCUCUGCCGGGGGCAUCCUGGGCGACCCGCCGGCCAGUGGGAGGGGAGGCUGGGGGGAGCGGCCUGGAGUGCUCUGAGGGGCUGUGCCUGCCGAGGCCCUGCUGGGAAGUGGGCUGGGCAGAGGGCAGGCGCCCCCAGCUCUCCCGGCUCUUCCCAUCUCUGUGUGCGUCCCUUGUCUCUGGCUCAGACUCCAGUCGGGGAACGAAGUUGCCAGGACUCAGGCGCGUGGCUGUCACUCGAAGUGUGGUUUUAUCUUGAAGCAAAGAAGGAGCUGCAGAGCGACUUGCCGAGUCUUGGGGUGGAGCCGGUGGAUGACGGGGCCUGGAGGAAGCUGUCUUAGGGGAUUUUCAAGGGCAUGGGGUCCUGGCCAGGGCUCUGCCCCCAGGAUUCACGCAGCCCUGUGUGGACACCGCCCCCGGCAGCUCACCUGCCACACCCUCCGGAGGGGGCGCUGUCCUGCACCCCCUCCGUCUGCCUCCACCACUUUGGGUGGGGUAGAGCCCCCAGGAGCCCAGGCAUGAUGCAGGAGUCAGGGGUUCCCGAGGACGGGCCGCUUCUGGGAACUCACUGCUGGGACACCUGCAGCCUGGCCUCUCCUGACAGACAUUCAGGGGCGGAGGCCCUGCUAGACCAGGCUGGCAGCGUCUGUGUCUCCUGGAGCUCCUCGAACCAGAAGGAGGCUGACAGAUGCCGCUUGCUCCAGGCUCCCCAGCUGCCACCCCACGUCUCGGGCUCAGAACUCCAUCAGCUCCCUCAUCGUGGAGGUCCUGGAACCCCCUUUCCCUCACUGGCUGUCAUUCCUCUCUGUUCCUCAUGCUGAAGCUGGCCCUUGGCGGGGCUCAUGGCCCAGCCGCUCCCCCUGCCCUGGGAGCCGGACUGAGCAGAGGUGGAGGGUCGCCUGGGGCCGGGGCUCAGCUCCCCCGUCCUGCAGGGGAUCAGCUCCACCCCGCUGCCCCAUCUGCCACCUGUUGACCGUGUAUUGGGGCAGGUGUGUUGAGGGAAAUUGGGUGGGAAACCUACUGAGAGAAAAGCAGGAAGGGUGCAGGGCUCUCGUGCUCUGGAUUGGUUUUGGUCGUUAGCCUCCUCCUGCUUUUCAUGUUAGAACAUAAUUAUUCCACAUCGACCUACGUCCUAAAGGCACAUGGACCUCUGCUUCCUCCAUCCCUCAUUACAUCCAUCCCCAUCCACCCACCCACCAUCCAUCUAUCCAUCCCUCUGUUUAUUCAUACUUCCAUCAGUCUGUCCACCUACCCACCCACCAUCCGUCCGUCUGUCCUUCCAGCUAUCCCCCCACCAAAGCCCUGCUCUGCACACCUCCUCUGCCUGUUUGUCUCCAGUGCCUGCACGCUGCCCGGCUUGGAGUAGCGGCUGCACCAACUGGGUUCUCCGCAUUCACCCAUUCCUUACAAAUACCCGCUGGGUGCCUUGUGUAGGCCACAUGCUGCUCCAGGUGCCGAGGUGUGCUGGUGUACAGAACUGAAGAAAUGCCCACCCUCUGGGAGAUUCGUUUGUGAAACGCACGGCGUCCUAGCCCGUGACACGUGCAGAAGACGGAAGAGGAAGCAGGGAGCUGGAGGCCGUGUUGCUGGAGCUGGGGUGGGGAAGGCCUCGUGAGGAGGUAAAGAGCGAGUGCAAAGGCCCUGAGGCAGAAGCAUGCCCAGCUUAGCUGAAGGAGCAGCGGAGCCGUGGGUCACCUGGUGGAGGAGAGACGUCGGGGCAGGGCGAGUGCUGGGUGGAGUGAGAUGGGGUCAGCUGGGGAUGCACCUUGAAGACCUGCAGGAUUGCGGGGGUUGAGGUGGGGGCGUGGACCACAGAGCAAGAGAGAACAAAGGCGGACGUGGAGGAUUUGGGCCUUAACGACAGAAGACUGCGUAGCUGUCAGCCCAGCAGGAGGAGCGGGUGUGGGGCACGUCAGGUCUACGGUGCCCUGGACGCCCGAGGGGGCUGCCGCACCACCGCUGCUGAAGCCAGGGGAGACCAGGAGACAGCGAGCUCCCCGGGAGGUGGGGGGGCGGCCCAAGCCCCAGGCCCCAGGGCUGAGUCAAGGGGAUGGGGGGCCUUGCCAGGGCCACGUCUGGUGCCUGGAGCCCCUUGGGGCAGGUGGCCCUGCUCUGAGCGCUGAAGUGGGGGUGGGGUGCUCACGGGGACCGGGGGGUGCAGAUGGCGAGCGUAGGAGGGAAAUGGGUGCGGGAUGAGGGGCGGGGGGUCAGCAGGGCGUUUCGGAUGGGAAGCAGCAGCUUCAUCCUCGUGGCUGGGGGCUCAGGGGCCCGUCCACUCGGGUCCAGGGGUGACUGUGCCAGUGAGGGAGGGGCUGAGGGCUCUGGGCGUCCCCUCCCCCUUCCUCCCACUCUGCGAGGGCAGCAGGUGGCCAGGGAGAGGAGGAGGUCGUGGGCUUCGAGGCAGGGGGUGAGCCCAGCCCUGUGUGGAUGCGGGGAGAUCUGGGGGCUCUGGGCGGAGGCUUUGGAUCCAGGGUCUGGAGUGUGGUCGCACCCCAAGUAGGAGGUUGGCAGGUGCGGGCCCCUCCGCCGGCUCCUCCACGUGGCUGCUCGUCCGGCUGCCCCCAGGCCUCCCGGCGUGUCCCCUGCUCUAUCCCCCGAGCCCCAGACCUGGCUGAUUGGUUGGGGGUGCAUUUCAGAGGCAGCUGUGAAAUCUGACAAGCGGUCCCUGCAGACAUGGCCUCUGGUUUCUGGAAAACCGAUCACCUGCCUACGGCCUCUUGAUUCUCGUUUGGGAGCCGUCCUGACCCUCAGGCUGCCAGCGGGGCCCCGGAGCCACCCUCCAAGGCAGGGACGGCGGGGAGGCAGGCGCUGGCCGGCCGGCCUCCGGGCAGUGCUGGCCCGAGGGGUCUGCUGGGCCGGCUUUGCUGCAGGGCUCUGUGGCCAGGGGACUGGGACCGCCAGGCCUGGGCUCACCCCGGGGAGAGCGCGGAUGGUGCAGACGUGCCAGCCGAGAAGGGCACCAGCCACCACCGGCCGCCCCGCCUUGGGACGCCCAGAUGAGCCGCCACGUGUGUCCGGGGGUCGGGGGAGGAGCCCCCCCUCGGAAGUCGGUCUUGCACGUUCCAUUAAAGCCAGUGGUGGGCUCCUCGGGCAGCCCCCUAGCUCGGCGCUCAGGGCCGCCUCCAGGGGCGUGGGGCUGCUGGCCCGAGCCCUGCGCCGAGACCCGAAGGUGUUCGAAGGCAGCGGGCAGCGUGUGGCCUGGGAACGGAGGGGUGGCCACGUCACGGAUCACGACGACACACCCCCCUGCGAGAGGCGGGCACUUGGACCAGGCUGCCGCCGCCCUCAGAUCCCCCGCACCCCCCAACCCCCACCCAGGGACCCCGCCUCAGUACCCUGCCCGGGGCUCCAGGCCCUUCUCCUGGGGAGCUGGGUGUGCAACGCAGGUGAAUAAGUGCAUUUGGGGUGAGGGAAGUCACCUCCCACCCCGUGUCCUGGGGCAGAGCUGGGGCCGGACCUGAGGACACAUGCCAGCUCUGCAAGGUGGGCCGGGCUCAGGGCCUCCCCACCCCGCCGAUGGGGCUGCGUGGCUGAGGGCAGGGGUUCUUCUGAAAAUACUUU